UACGUAGGGUGCAGGCGUUAAUCGGAAUUACUGGGCGUAAAGCGUGCGCAGGCGGUUUGCUAAGACAGGUGUGAAAUCCCCGGGCUUAACCUGGGAACUGCGCUUGUAACUGGCAAGCUAGAGUGUGGCAGAGGGGGGUGGAAUUCCAGGUGUAGCAGUGAAAUGCGCAGAUAUCGGGAGGAACACCUAUGGCGAAGGCAGCUCGCUGGGACGUUACUGACGCUGAGACGCGAAAGCGUGGGGAGCAAACAGG
RNAcentral lists this ribosomal RNA (253 nucleotides) under uncultured bacterium. RNAcentral describes it as "partial 16S ribosomal RNA". It matches the Rfam family "Bacterial small subunit ribosomal RNA", at positions 524 to 776 of the family's 1533-position model. The record is from RNAcentral.